CUGUGAACCUAAAACUGCUCUAAAGAAGUCUAUUCAAAGAUUUUUCUUUUAAAGCAGGGGAACAUUUGCUAUAUUAAGAUCAUACAUGUGUCUGUCCCCAGACCUAGUUCUUUCCCUACUUAUGGUUUUAUAAAGAUUGUGAUAAAC
This is a small nucleolar RNA of Suricata suricatta (meerkat), 147 nucleotides long. Its record names the gene SNORA72. It matches the Rfam family "Small nucleolar RNA SNORA72". From Rfam's summary of the family: U72 is a member of the H/ACA class of snoRNAs. The snoRNA gene is located in intron 4 of the ribosomal L30 protein gene in human, mouse and chicken. The record is from Ensembl. Lineage: Eukaryota; Metazoa; Chordata; Mammalia; Carnivora; Herpestidae.